GGAUCGCGAGUAAAGUGGCGAAAGGGUCAGUAAUACAUAGAUAACCUACCCUUCCGAUUCGGCAUAACUUGGCGAAAGCCGUGCUAAUUCCGGAUACGAUGCAACGACUUCGGUCGUGGUAUGAAAGGCCGGGAGCCCUUCGGGGUCCGGUCGUCGGAGGAGGGGUCUAUGCCCCAUCAGCUAGUUGGUGAGGUAACGGCUCACCAAGGCAAUUACGGGUACGGGGCCUGAGAGGGUGUUCCCGGACACUGGGACUGAGACACUGCCCAGACUCCUACGGGAGGCAGCAGUCGAGAAUCAUUCGCAAUGGGCGCAAGCCUGACGAUGCGACGCCGCGUGUGGGAUGGAGGCCUUCGGGUUGUAAACCACUGUCACAGGGGAAGAAUAGCCGGCAUACGAAUAAUGUGCCGGCCUGACGUUACCCUGAGAGGAAGUCACGGCUAACUCCGUGCCAGCAGCCGCGGUAAUACGGAGGUGGCAAGCGUUGUUCGGAAUUACUGGGCGUAAAGGGUGUGUAGGCGGUUUGUCAUGUUCGGUGUGAAAUACCCCGGCUCAAUCGGGGAACUGCAUCGAAAACUGGCAGACUUGAGUGCAGGAGGGAAGAGCGGAAUUUCCGGUGGAGCGGUGAAAUGCGUAGAUAUCGGAAGGAACGCCAGUGGCGAAAGCGGCUCUUUGGCCUGUUACUGACGCUGAGGCACGAAAGCCAAGGGAGCAAACAGGAUUAGAUACCCCGGUAGUCUUGGCUGUAAACGAUGGGCACUACGUAGUGGGGCCUCUGACGGUCUCACUGCCGGAACUAACGCAUUAAGUGCCCCGCCUGGGGACUACGACCGCAAGGUUAAAACUCAAGGUAAUUGACGGGGGCUCACACAAGCGGUGGAGCAUGUUGCGUAAUCGAUCAACGCGAAGAACCUUACCAGGGCUUGACAUACACGGAUUAGGUUGUCGAAAGGCAACUGACGCCCUUGAGGUGGAACGUGAACAGGUGUUGCAUGGCUGUCGUCAGCUCGUGCCGUGAGGUGUCGGGUUAAGUCCCACAACGAGCGAAACCCCUAUCCCUAGUUGCCAGCGAGUCAUGUUGGGGACUCUAGGGAGACUGCCAGUGUUAAACUGGAGGAAGGUGGGGAUGACGUCAAGUCAUCAUGGCCCUUAUGUCCUGGGCUGCAAACGUGCUACAAUGGUCGGUACAGUGGGAAGCAAGACCGUGAGGUGGAGCCAAUCCCCCUAAAGCCGACCUCAGUACGGAUUGAAGGCUGCAACUCGCCUUCAUGAAGCUGGAAUCGCUAGUAAUCGCGAAUCAGCAACGUCGCGGUGAAUAUGUUCCUGAGCCUUGUAUACACCGCCCGUCAAGUCACCUGAAUGGAUCGAACCCGAAGCCGCGAAGCCCUCGGGCCAGCGUCGAAGGUCCGGUUCGUGAGGGGGACUAAGUCGUAACAAGGUA
Molecule: ribosomal RNA, 1441 nt
Filed under: metagenome
Description: bacterial SSU rRNA
Rfam family: Bacterial small subunit ribosomal RNA
Source: RNAcentral